Molecule: ribosomal RNA, 700 nt
Filed under: uncultured bacterium
Lineage: Bacteria
Description: bacterial SSU rRNA
Rfam family: Bacterial small subunit ribosomal RNA
Source: RNAcentral
UGCAAGUCGAACGGAGUUAACAGCAGCACUCAGCAGUUGGCAUUCAGCGAUCAGCAAAGAAGAGAAAAUCCUUUUAGCUGACAGCUAAGAGCUGAAAGCUGAGUGCUGUUGUUAACUUAGUGGCGGACGGGUGAGUAACACGUAGGUAACCAACCCUCAAGCGGGGGACAACUCUUCGAAAGGAGAGCUAAUACCGCAUAAGACCACGAACUGGGAUGUUUGUGGUAAAAGGAGCAAUUCACUUGAGGAUGGGCCUGCGGCCUAUCAGGUAGUUGGCGGGGUAACGGCCCACCAAGCCUAAGACGGGUAGCCGGACUGAGAGGUUGAACGGCCACACUGGAACUGAGACACGGUCCAGACUCCUACGGGAGGCAGCAGUGGGGAAUUUUGCGCAAUGGGGGAAACCCUGACGCAGCGACGCCGCGUGGAGGAUGAAGGUCUUCGGAUUGUAAACUCCUUUUGUCGGGGAAGAUAAUGACGGUACCCGAUGAAUAAGCCACGGCUAACUCUGUGCCAGCAGCCGCGGUAAGACAGAGGUGGCAAGCGUUGUUCGGAAUUACUGGGCUUAAAGGGCGCGUAGGCGGUGGAGUAAGUCUGAGGUGGAAGAUUACGGCUUAACCCUAAAAUUGCCUUAAAACUGCAUCACUUGAGUCAGCGAGGGGAUGGCGGAAUUCCAGGUGUAGCGGUGAAAUGCGUCUAU